GACGAACGCUGGCGGCGUGCUUAACACAUGCCAGUCGAACGGAAAGGCCCUGCUUUUGUUGGGUGCUCGAGUGGCGAACGGGUGAGUAACACGUGAGUAACCUGCCCUUGACUUUGGGAUAACUUCAGGAAACUGGGGCUAAUACCGGAUAGGAGCUCCUGCUGCAUGGUGGGGGUUGGAAAGUUUCGGCGGUUGGGGAUGGACUCGCGGCUUAUCAGCUUGUUGGUGGGGUAGUGGCUUACCAAGGCUUUGACGGGUAGCCGGCCUGAGAGGGUGACCGGCGACAUGGGGACUGAGAGAGGGACCAGACGCCUACGGGAGGCAGCAGUGGGGAAUAUUGCACAAUGGGCGGAAGCCUGAUGCAGCAACGCCGCGUGCGGGAUGACGGCCUUCGGGUUGUAAACCGCUUUCGCCUGUGACGAAGCGUGAGUGACGGUAAUGGGUAAAGAAGCACCGGCUAACUACGUG
This 468-nucleotide ribosomal RNA is filed under the name uncultured bacterium. RNAcentral's name for it is "partial 16S ribosomal RNA". It matches the Rfam family "Bacterial small subunit ribosomal RNA", at positions 28 to 507 of the family's 1533-position model. The record is from RNAcentral.